RNAcentral lists this ribosomal RNA (468 nucleotides) under uncultured bacterium. Its description in RNAcentral is "partial 16S ribosomal RNA". It matches the Rfam family "Bacterial small subunit ribosomal RNA", at positions 28 to 507 of the family's 1533-position model. The record is from RNAcentral.
GACGAACGCUGGCGGCGUGCUUAACACAUGCAAGUCGAACGGAAAGGCCCUGCUUUUGUGGGGUGCUCGAGUGGCGAACGGGUGAGUAACACGUGAGUAACCUGCUCUUGACUUUGGGAGAACUUCAGGAAACUGGGGCUAAUAUCGGAUAGGAGCUCCUGCAGCAGGGUGGGGGUUGGAAAGUUUCGGCGGUUGGGGAUGGACUCGCGGCUUAUCAGCUUGUUGGUGGGGUAGUGGCUUACCAAGGCUUUGACGGGUAGCCCGCCUGAGAGGGAGACCGGCCACCUUGCGACUGCGAUACGGCCCAGUCUCCUACGGGAGGCAGCGGUGGGGAAUAUUGCACAGUGGGCGGAAGCCUGAUGCAGCGACGCCGCGUGCGGGAUGACGGCCUUCGGGUUGUAAACCGCCUUCGCCUGUGACGAAGCGUGAGUGACGGUAAUGGGUAAAGAAGCACCGGCUAACUACGUG